Molecule: ribosomal RNA, 716 nt
Filed under: uncultured bacterium
Lineage: Bacteria
Description: bacterial SSU rRNA
Rfam family: Bacterial small subunit ribosomal RNA
Source: RNAcentral
GAGUUUGAUCCUGGCUCAGGACGAACGCUGGCGGCGUGCCUAAUACAUGCAAGUCGAGCGAGCUGAAUUCAAAGAUCCCUUCGGGGUGAUUUGUUGGACGCUAGCGGCGGAUGGGUGAGUAACACGUGGGCAAUCUGCCCUAAAGACUGGGAUACCACUUGGAAACAGGUGCUAAUACCGGAUAACAACAUGAAUCGCAUGAUUCAAGUUUGAAAGGCGGCGCAAGCUGUCACUUUAGGAUGAGCCCGCGGCGCAUUAGCUAGUUGGUGGGGUAAAGGCUUACCAAGGCAAUGAUGCGUAGCCGAGUUGAGAGACUGAUCGGCCACAUUGGGACUGAGACACGGCCCAAACUCCUACGGGAGGCAGCAGUAGGGAAUCUUCCACAAUGGACGCAAGUCUGAUGGAGCAACGCCGCGUGAGUGAAGAAGGUUUUCGGAUCGUAAAGCUCUGUUGUUGGUGAAGAAGGAUAGAGGCAGUAACUGGUCUUUAUUUGACGGUAAUCAACCAGAAAGUCACGGCUAACUACGUGCCAGCAGCCGCGGUAAUACGUAGGUGGCAAGCGUUGUCCGGAUUUAUUGGGCGUAAAGCGAGCGCAGGCGGAAUGAUAAGUCUGAUGUGAAAGCCCACGGCUCAACCGUGGAACUGCAUCGGAAACUGUCAUUCUUGAGUGUAGAAGAGGAGAGUGGAACUCCAUGUGUAGCGGUGAAAUGCGUAGA